RNAcentral lists this ribosomal RNA (432 nucleotides) under uncultured bacterium. RNAcentral describes it as "partial 16S ribosomal RNA". It matches the Rfam family "Bacterial small subunit ribosomal RNA", at positions 29 to 506 of the family's 1533-position model. The record is from RNAcentral.
AACGAACGCUGGCGGCAUGCCUAACACAUGCAAGUCGAACGAUCCCUUCGGGGAUAGUGGCGCACGGGUGCGUAACGCGUGGGAACCUGCCCUUAGGUUCGGAAUAACUCAGAGAAAUUUGAGCUAAUACCGGAUAAUGUCUUCGGACCAAAGAUUUAUCGCCUUUGGAUGGGCCCGCGUUGGAUUAGCUAGUUGGUGGGGUAAAGGCCUACCAAGGCGACGAUCCAUAGCUGGUCUGAGAGGAUGAUCAGCCACACUGGGACUGAGACACGGCCCAGACCCCGCGGGAAGGCAGCAGGGGGGAAUUUUGGACAAUGGGCGAAAGCCUGACCCCGCAGUGCCGGGUGGGUGAUGAAGGCCUUAGGGUUUUAAACCUCUUUUCCCCGGGAUGAUAAUGCCGUUCCCGGGGAAAAAACCCCCGGCUACCUCCGU